RNAcentral lists this ribosomal RNA (440 nucleotides) under uncultured bacterium. RNAcentral's name for it is "partial 16S ribosomal RNA". It matches the Rfam family "Bacterial small subunit ribosomal RNA", at positions 338 to 795 of the family's 1533-position model. The record is from RNAcentral.
CCUACGGGCGGCAGCAGUGGGGAAUAUUGCACAAUGGGGGAAACCCUGAUGCAGCGACGCCGCGUGAGUGAAGAAGUAUCUCGGUACGUAAAGCCCUAUCAGCAGGGAAGAAAAUGACGGUACCUGACUAAGAAGCCCCGGCUAACUACGUCUCAGCAGCCGCGGUAAUACGUAGGGGGCAAGCGUGAGCCGGAUUUACUGGGGGUAAAGGGAGCGUAGACGGCAGCACAAGUCUGGAGUGAAAUCCCGGGGCUUAACCCCGGCACUGCUUUGGAAACUGUGCGACUGGAGUGCAGGAGGGGUAAGCGGAAUUCCUGGUGUAGCGGUGAAAUGCGUAGAUAUUAGGAGGAACACGGGUGGCGAAGGCGGCUUACUGGACUGUAACUGACGUUGAGGCUCGAAAGCGUGGGGAGCGAACAGGAUUAGAUACCCCAGUAGUC